AUCACUACCACAUCUUCACACAGCAUCACUCUCUCUGACCUGCAACCUGCUACUGAAUACUCUGUCACUGUCUGCACUGAGUUGGAAAAUGGAAAGCAAAGUCAACUGGUGUCUACAACCCUCACCACAAUACUGCCUGCUCUAGACCAGAUUAAUGUUGACUCAGUGGACACCACAUCAGCUGCUGUUAGCUGGAGCCAGCCACCAGGAUUAGACCAAACCCAACAUCAUUACCAGAUCUCCUACCACUGUCCAGGGACAGAACCAAACAUCGGUACCACAUCUUCACACAGUAUCACUCUCUCUGACCUGCAACCUGCUACUGAAUACUCUGUCACUGUCUGCACUGAGUUGGAAAAUGGAAAGCAAAGUCAACUGGUGUCUACAACCCUCACCACAAUACUGCCUGCUCCAGACCAGAUUAAUGUUGACUCUGUGGACACCACAUCAGCUGCUGUUAGCUGGAGCCAGCCACCAGGAUUAGACCAAACCCAACAUCAUUACCAGAUCUCCUACCACUGUCCAGGGACA
Long non-coding RNA from Coregonus clupeaformis (lake whitefish), 531 nucleotides. RefSeq lists it as uncharacterized. The transcript is spliced from 3 exons. The record is from RefSeq and is a predicted model, not a curated record. NCBI's taxonomy places the organism in Eukaryota, Metazoa, Chordata, Actinopteri, Salmoniformes, Salmonidae.